Molecule: ribosomal RNA, 329 nt
Filed under: uncultured eukaryote
Lineage: Eukaryota
Description: partial 18S ribosomal RNA
Rfam family: Eukaryotic small subunit ribosomal RNA
Source: RNAcentral
CCCUUAGAUGUCCUGGGCCGCACGCGCGCUACACUGAUGCAUGCAACGAGUUUAUAACCUUGGCCUGAAAGGUCUGGGUAAUCUUUUGAACGUGCAUCGUGAUAGGGAUAGAUUAUUGCAAUUAUUAAUCUUGAACGAGGAAUUCCUAGUAAACGCAGAUCAUCAAUCUGCAUUGAUUACGUCCCUGCCCUUUGUACACACCGCCCGUCGCACCUACCGAUUGGAUGGUCCGGUGAAGCCUCGGGAUUGUGGUUCUUGCCGCUUUAUUGUGGCGUGACCGCGAGAACUUGUCUAAACCUUAUCAUCUAGAGGAAGGUGAAGUCGUAACA